RNAcentral lists this transfer RNA (84 nucleotides) under Gammaproteobacteria bacterium. RNAcentral's name for it is "tRNA-Leu". It matches the Rfam family "tRNA". From Rfam's summary of the family: Transfer RNA (tRNA) molecules are approximately 80 nucleotides in length. The record is from RNAcentral. Lineage: Bacteria; Pseudomonadati; Pseudomonadota; Gammaproteobacteria.
GCCCAGGUGGUGAAAUUGGUAGACACGCUAGCUUCAGGUGCUAGUGAUCGCAAGGUCGUGGAGGUUCAAGUCCUCUCCUGGGCA